Molecule: ribosomal RNA, 453 nt
Filed under: uncultured bacterium
Lineage: Bacteria
Description: bacterial SSU rRNA
Rfam family: Bacterial small subunit ribosomal RNA
Source: RNAcentral
UACGGAAGGCAGCAGUGGGGAAUAUUGCACAAUGGGCGCAAGCCUGAUGCAGCCAUGCCGCGUGUAUGAAGAAGGCCUUCGGGUUGUAAAGUACUUUCAGCGGGGAGGAAGGCGAUGCGGUUAAUAACCGCGUCGAUUGACGUUACCCGCAGAAGAAGCACCGGCUAACUCCGUGCCAGCAGCCGCGGUAAUACGGAGGGUGCAAGCGUUAAUCGGAAUUACUGGGCGUAAAGCGCACGCAGGCGGUCUGUUAAGUCAGAUGUGAAAUCCCCGGGCUUAACCUGGGAACUGCAUUUUGAACUGGCAGGCUUGAGUCUUGUAGAGGGGGUAGAAUUCCAGGUGUAGCGGUGAAAUGCGUAGAGAUCUGGAGGAAUACCGGUGGCGAAGGCGGCCCCUGGGACAAGACUGACGCUCAGGUGCGAAAGCGUGGGGAGCAAACAGGGAUUAGAUACC